AGAAGAGCUGCUGGAGAACACAGCCGGUGCAGAAGACACACUCAAAAAUAGAAAGCUCUACCCUUGAACUAUGAACUCUCUUUGAAGGAAGUUAUAAAGUCUUUAAAUUUGGAACCUUGAAAUAUGAACUAGAAAAAUUUGCAAACCAGAAAACAAUUACUUUGUGUACUUUCAGUAUGAACUUAGGGUUUCUAAGGUCGUUAACACAGAAAUGUGUAGAACAAGGCUAAAGAAUGAAGCAAGAGACGACAGCACCCAGCAAGACUAAGCAAGCUGCUCACACACAGUCUGUUGCAUGGUCGACUUUUAAGAAGCUAUACAAAGCUUGGAAAACUUAAUUAUUUAAAUGUAAUGCAGAGCCAGUGCAGCUGAAUUCUGCCUGACACAGAACAAGAUGAAAACGUUUUUAUAUCUUGGACUUUCCACAACACAGUUCGGACUCUGCUGAGAAGAACCACUGCUGCUACAGACUGCUAUUUUGUACAGGGCAUAUUAAGUAAAAACGAAUUAUAACAGUUUGACAAGACCUUGGAGGAUGUACUAACUGAUCGCUGUUCCCGAGGAAGCUGGAUAUAAGAACAUGGUGAUUUGAAGGCUGUAGCAAUGGCUCAGUGGGUAAGAGCACUGGCUGCUGUUGCAGAGGACCUGGCUUCUCUUCCCAGCACCCACACAGCAGUUCAUAACCAUCUCGAACUCC
Molecule: non-coding RNA, 697 nt
Organism: Peromyscus maniculatus bairdii (prairie deer mouse)
Lineage: Eukaryota; Metazoa; Chordata; Mammalia; Rodentia; Cricetidae
Source: RefSeq, a predicted model, not a curated record